Long non-coding RNA from Pimephales promelas (fathead minnow), 643 nucleotides. RefSeq lists it as uncharacterized. The record is from RefSeq and is a predicted model, not a curated record. Lineage: Eukaryota; Metazoa; Chordata; Actinopteri; Cypriniformes; Leuciscidae.
AAGUGGCGUUACCCACAAUCGCUGAUCCACUAACAUCCAAUAGUGUAAAUUGUGGCAGCAGCUUCUGAACUGAAGAUUGGCAACUUGGCUGAACUCCAGAAGUGAAAGCCUGGCUCUUUCAUGGCUCUUUUCAACACCAAGUUCUACAAAUAUCGGUAACCACUCACAAGGAGCCGGUGGAAGAGUUCUCAUAGAUCUCAUCCCUCAUCCUGCUGACAUCUCCAGCAUGGUCAUCCUUCUUUAAGAUGUUCUUUGUACCACCACUCUACCAUGACGAAGGUUGCGGCAAAACCUCAUGGAGGAUUCACAUGGAUGUAAUUGGGCAUUGCAGGGCCAACUUCACACUUGGUUACAAUGGCAGAAUGUUGGGAUAGGAUAUGCUCCAAUCCACUUAGGAAAAGUGGAGACAAGGCUGGAAUGCCAGGUAUGUCUUUUUUGUUGUGCACUGUGGGCCUGCUGUCGCCGGGGAAAAAAGACAAAAUGUAACUAUUAGGUUACAGUUUGGUCUGAUGCGUAUUUAGCACGAAACAUGACACUCAUUACAGAAUUGUUCUCUGUGUGGGUUAUGAAAAACAGUCAAUGAGGUCUCAGUCUCAUUCACACUGUGAAAUUGAAUUCCUUUAGAUGUGUGGAAUUAAAAGAA